AACACUAUGAUGUAUGCCAGAAAUUGACACACUAUACUUCAAUUUAAAAAAAGAAAAAGAAAAAUGGAACCAACCAGGAAAAAAAAAGGAAUGAAAUGAGCUGGAGACAAAGCCUGCAGGCAGCCAGGGGCCUGCCCUGCUGUAGCAGCUGAGGCUUGUUGGUCCCAAUAGCUGUUCUCUCCUGUUCCAUGGGAUAUUUAGCUAAGAACAUGGCCACUCAGAAUAAAGACUACAUUUCCCAGCAUUUCUUAUAGUAAAUAUGGCCAUGUGACGAAGAUCUAGUCAAUAGGUAAGUGCCACUUCGGGGCCUUUUUUUUUUUUUUAAAGGGAAGGGAUAUACCUUUCUCCUUUUCUUGUCCUCCUUGAUGUCUGGAAUGUGGGUUUAAUGGCUAGAACUGGAGCAGCCAUUUUGGACCAUGAGGUAGUCUUGGGUCAGAAGCAAUAUAUAGAAGAGCAACAAGGCAGAAGAAUACUAUGUGUUCUUGACCCCAUGGAGCUGCUAUGCUGGCAGUAUAGGCCCCCUACCUCUGGAUAGUUCUAUGAAAAGAAAGAGGUUUGUAUUUUGCUUAAGCCAUUUGCUAUUUUGGAUUUCUCUGGUACUAACAGUCAAACCUAAUAUUACAGUAUUUUUAAGGUGCAAAUCCAGCCUUCAAGAAACACGCCUAGAGCCCCCAGCUCUAAACCAAUCUCUCCUUCGCAUGCCCCGCCAUUGUAACAUUGGUCAUUAUGGAUAGGGAAGCACAGAUAGGACUUUCAAAGUCCUUUCACAUGCAUUUUUAAACAUUCAUUUCCUGUUUUCCACACAACAAAGUUUUGUAGGUAUUAUUGCCAGCAUCCCGCAGGUAAGGAAGUGGCGGCUCAGAGGCGUAAAUGGUGUUCUGGUUUGGCAACACUCUUCAGCUUUAUAUAAAUUAUUGAUGCCAGUGUCCAUCUCCCCUCCUGCCUGUGAUCUUCUCUGGCCUAGCGGGAGCUGAUUCAACUCUGAUUCCCUCCGGGGCUGGUGCUGAGGGCCCCACCCACAGCAGGUGCUCUGUCAAUUUGUGCCAAAUUGAUUUCCUGUAAGUGCAGCAAGUUCUCCAUCUGAGGAUAUUGAUUUCCUCUAAACUGCAUUUCUCUGUUUGACAUUCUCCAAGAAAGGGAGAAAAACUCAAAGGAGAGAAAAAAGCUUGGUCCUUUUGGGUGAGUCUUUGGCUGCAGAGGGCCGGGUGGCCAGGGCUUGGCAGUUCAUAAAGGGGCCUGCUCUAGGGUGUCACAGGACCCAGAGCAAACUACCAGGGAGCCAGAGCUGGGGCUGAGAGAGGAAAGUGUGGUGAGGGGGGGCCUCUGAAGCUGGGGCCUCGGCAAGGGUGGGGAGGCAAAGAAAGGAGCUGGUUUCAUAGCCAGUUGGCUUUUGCAAGUAUUAUUUCAUGGGACCUCACAGCUCUGGGGGACUGGAGAGCAAACAUGGUGGGGGAUACACGCCUCACCCUCAACUUCAGUCCUGCUAUCUUCCCAAAUGCUUCUAAGUAUGAGUAUGGAGGGAUGUGAAAAUGCUUGAAACACGGGCCACGCCACAAAUGAAAAAGAGAAAGGCUUGCCUAUUAAUUUUUGUUUGUUUGUUAACUUCAGCCCACAACUUCCUCAAAGACAACUCCCAGGACUGCGGCAUCAAAAUGCUUUUGCACAUGAACUUUUUUCUUCGGUUUCUCCUUUAUGGUGUUUCAGCAGGAUUAUUGCAAACGCACUCACUCCACUAGACUCCCCGCCCCCAGCCCUCCCCACUUGAAAGAGCCUUCCCCUCUGCAGCCAGAGGGCCCUUUCUGAAACUCCAACUGGGCCUUCACUCCCCUCCAUCGAACUCUUUUCCGUGGCUCUCCAGUACUCAGAGCAGGCUCUCAGCCCAAACUACACAGCAGAAUCACCUGGGAACUUUAAAAAUACAUUGACGCUCAUGCCCCAAUGAGAUCAAUUAAAUCAGAAUGGGAGGGUGGGAGGCAGACUUUAAUUAUUUUUAAAAGCUCCAGGUAAUUCAAAUAUAGAGCCACUGGUCUGAAGGGUAAAGAGAGAGAAAGCUCCUCUUUAUAGUAAAAUGCCAGCUAAUAAACUCAGAAGGAAUUAGAGAAAAUACCAUUUGCAACCACUGUUAGAAUAAUUCACGCAAGCAAGUCAUCGGAUGCAAAAACCCUUGGAUAAGAGACUAUUUGGGUACAGAAUAUCACACAGUCCCCAAGUAAUCCCCCAUCCGCAGAGUGUGAGGGGGUUGUAACAGUCGUGCUCAGCACGUGGUCCCCGGGGCAGCAGCAGCACCACCUGGAGCAAAUUCUCUGGCCCACUCCGGACCUGACGAAUCAGAAACUCCAGAGCUCCAAUUCCAGAAAUGCUUUAAAACCCUCCAGGUGAUUCGAGUUUGAGAACCACUGCUCUCGAGGACUUCUGGGUUGGGCACCACGAUGGGCUGCUCAGACCCCCUUUAGAAGAAAGGAUUCAUCCCUGUUGCUGAGAGCACAGCCAGAAGACGCCUCCACUCUCUUCCCCGUGCGGCUGGGCCGGGCUGAAGAGACCUGCUGGCAGCGAGGGCUCACCCACCUCUCGGUGUCCCACAGUAGGUGUGGAUCCUACCAGCUCCCUCCAGUACACACCCCGUUUGCUGAUCUUCAUCCCGAGCACACUUCCCAGAGAGCCUAGCCUUGAGCAGCAGCCUUGGAGGGCUCGCUCUGGCCCUGAGUUGUCUUCAGCAGAGCCGUCUUCAUUCUCUGCCUGUAUCGCUCACUCACUGUGUGCAGAGCCUGGUGCUGAGAACUCCAGGUGCCUUAUUCUGUUCAGUUUUCAAGGCCACCCCGGGAUCUCCGUCUCACAGAUAGAAAACAGAGGCCCGGAGGGGUGAAUUAACAUACCAGUGUCACAGAGAAACAGCUGGGAUGAGAACCCAGCCCUCCAGCAUUUCAAGGAGCCCGGAAAAUGGUAAGAGGUAUUUCCUGACGUUCUUGAGCAAGAUGGGGUGGGGGUGAGUGCUUGUGAGUAAACGUGCCCAGUGUUGCUUCUCCAGGGGAAUCGGGUACAUGCCACCCCGCUGCCAUUCAUACCUCUCAUUGGGGAGUCCCAGGUUAUGCUGCACCCUUCAUAUUCUGUUGCACCAGCGUCUGCCUUAGUUUUGUUUGUUUUAUCAGCCAUUUCUGUAUGAUCUGAGCUGUGUUCCUAGCUCUUCCCUCAGCCUAGCUGCGGCAGAGGCUCCAUGGAAAUAAGAAGUGUGUCAGUGAGGAGUGUGCUGUCAACCCCCAGCACUGGGGUGCGGUGGGCAGAGAACGGGCAGGGGACAGCUUGACAAUAAGGCCAUAUACAAGCAUAAAAGGAUAAAAAGUACCCUCUUCCCUCUGCAUGAAAGGCUUUCCUUCUCUUAGCAAUAUCGGUGGAGAUAUCUCACUUCUAAAGCAAGCCGUUUGUUCUCCAUGCUUGGACGAGACUGAGCAGGUUGGUGAUACUUUUCAGCUAAGAACAGACAACUGGCAGCUAAAGUCAGCCCUUCCUCAUGUUGCUCUGCUCUUUGUGCCCUGGGAAUGUGGUCUUUAGGCUCCAGUGACUGGCAGAAAGCGGGGAGGGGCCUUCCAGCCAGCCGGCCACACAGCCAACCCACCCACCAGCCACCUACCCAUUCAUCCAUCUGUAUAUCUCACGGGAACACGCGAAGAAUUGUAGAAGCAGUGAUGUACUGGUAUAUGUUUAACCACUGGCAAUCUGUGGGGAAAAGCCCAGCUUUGUGGUGGUUGCCAGUUUCUCGGGGUCUAAAUAUUCCCACUGUGGUUUAAUUCAAGCUACCAACAUGAUGUCACCAAUGCAGAGUCAAGAAAGAUGCCCAGUAGCGUGCUUUUGGAUGGUAUUUCCACCGUACAGAUACAGAUAACCUCAACAGCAUAAAGAACUGUAAAAUGGUGUCAUAUAAUUAGGAAGUGAUAAGUUUUGAGUAUUGGUUAUUUUUGCUUUUAAGAUAAUUUAAUUGAAAGUUUAUAGUUUAAUCUUUAAUGAUGGUUAUAUUUAACAACCUAAAAGGUGGUUCUAAUGCAUGGUGUACAUGCGUGGCAUGGGGGCCUGGGGGCCCCCACACCAAAAAACAAUUCUCCAGACACCACCUGGGUGUUUUAACUCAAUUCCGACACUCUACUCAGAGGUAGCAUCAGAUCCCCCAGGUUAAGGGCUCAGUCUCACAAGAAUGCCCCUCCUCAACUUUAGAUGCCAGUCACAAAUCCAGAUUGUCACCUGUGCUUGUGACCAACCAGCUAUAGAUCAGAGGUUCCCAUGACCCCUCUUCUUGGAUUCAGCUAAUUUGCUAGAGCGGUUCAUAGAAUUCAGAGAAACAUUUUACUUGCUAGAGUACCAGUUUAUUAUUAAAGGAUUGUAACUCAGGACCAACCAGAUGGAAGAUGUACUUAGGGCGACCUACGUGGGAAGGGCUCCCAGGCUCUCCCCAGGUGUGCCAUUCUACCUGAAUCUCCACGUGUUCAACCAGAAAGCUCUCCAAACUCCAUCCUUUUGGGGUUUUGUGGAGGCUUCAUAUAUAGGCGUUUGAUUAAAUCAUUGGCCUUUGGUGAUUGAUUCAACCUUCAGCCCCCCUCUUCCCUCCCCAGGGGUAGAAAGAUGGGAGAGGCUGCACUGAAAAUUCCAGCCUCCAAUCAUGGGGUGGUUUCUUCUGGGAACCAGCCCCCGUCCUCAGGUGACCUGGGGGCAUCCCAAAAGUCACCUGAUUAACAUAACGAAAAACACCUUGAUCUCUGCCACUUGAGGGUUUAGAAGCUCUGAGUUAGAAACAGGGCAACGUAUUUCUUAUUACAAAUCACAAUGUUACACAACCAGAUUGCAAAAUCCCUGACAAAUUGACAGUCAGCUCUCUCAAGCUGGUCUGAGCCAGCUCCAGCACAAAUUCGAUUUGGGGCAGAGGGGAGAAAGUUGUUCUCUACUGAGGGUAGGCGAUGAGAUGGGAUUGCUAGUGAUAUGACAGCCAAAGGUUUUAAAUCUAUACUAGGGGGAGAAGGCCAGGCUGAUUUAGCUGAGUCUGAAUUAUACAGUUUAAAAAGCCAUCUUUAAUUCUACUGCAUUCAUAUACCAUAAAGAAUAACUUUCUCCCAACUUUAUUUUCCAGAGCCACAGCAUUCAGCUACCAUUCCCUCCUCCUCCUCUUGGCUCCUCUGGUCCCUUCCCUCUUCUUGUUUCCCACCCAUCCCAGUCCCCAGCACUGAGUGCUAACUGUGCCUCCUCCUCAGAUUAGCAUCUAAAUGUCGGAGUGUUCAUGGCCUGGUCCUGGGCCCUCACAGCCUUGCUGUUUACAUCCUUCCUAAGGAUUUCAAUCAGUCCUGAGACUUUAAACAUCCUCUCUUUGCCAUGAGUUCUUAUUUUUGUCAAAGCAUUGCAUGCAAAUCAUUUCUUAAAGUCAAACGGUGCUAAAAACUUCUCUUAAAAACCUGCAGUAUCUUGUCUACCCUUCCUCGUAAGUCCUCAGAAACUAUAUCUUUCAGUGCCUCUAGCUUCUUCCCACUAUUUCCCUCCAUAUUUCUAAACAAUAUGCAUCUUGCUAGCUUUUGAUGAUCAAUUUUAUAUAAUGUCUGUUAACGUCUGAUAGUAAAUAAGGAUUUAAAGUAUUUGACAUCCCUUUCGCUCUGUCGGCUGAAAAACAAAUGGACAACGUGGAAAUAGUGAGCAAAGUUUUAUUUGGGGCAAAGUGAGGACUAUAGCCCAUGUGACGGCCUCUCAGAUAGCUCUGAGGAGCUGCUCUGAAGAGGUGGGGAGGGAGGUCAGUACUACGUAUGUUUUUGGUGAAGGAGGUACGUGCAAUCAAGCACACAUUUUGGCAGAGAGUUGCUGCUAGUCACGAGGAGCAGAUGUCUCCCUUAAUGACUUUUAGUGCUUAUUUAGUGCUUUAGAUAGGAGAAGAUGCGAGAAAUUGGGCUCAUAAAAUUUUCUCCUGAAAAUAUCUGUCUAAAGUCCUGUUCUGCCAGUUAUUCCCAGAGCACAGAGUGCCUCAUUCCCGAUCUCCACCCUGAACUCCUUUCAGGAUGUGUUGCAAGUCAGCGCCUGCAGUGGCUAGUGACUUCUUUCUUACAGAACCAGAUGGCGAGGGACAGUUUUUAUUUGGCACCUCCCUCCUUAUGUGUGAGUUUUAAGGAAAUCUGUAAUAGUAUCUUAUUUAUAUCAAUAUGUUAAUAUCAUUCACUGUUAGGUCAAAUGAAUGUAUUUUCUUCCUUCGUCAAAUGAAAAUGAUUAACUCCAGGAAAAAAAAAAGUUUUAGUUCUCUUUAUCUGGCUUGAUCUUCCUACACUACCUCAGGCCUAGCAAUACAAUUUUUUGAUCAAAUAAGUCACUGUUAUUUUAUGAGUUCUAUUUUCCCGCCAGACCCCUUGGACCUCCUGUUCCGAAUGAUACUCUGGGCGUGCUGUGCAGCUGGGCUCCCUGCCCCCCUCGGCUGGAUCGGACCCCACCUGCCUGACUCCUGUGCCUUCGCCUUUCUUUGGGGGACGUUUUCCCCCAAAGCUUCCUGUGAGAGAUGCGUGGGAGGCAAAUGUUCUGAUUUUUUGUGUCUGAAAAUGUCUUUGUUCCAUCUUCACACUUGACUGGAAGUUUUUCGGAUUUUUCUCUUUAUCUCUGGCAUUCUUAAAUUUCAUAUUGAUUGCAGUGAUAUGGGCUUUCUUGCAGUGUAUGGACAGGGCAUUAUGUCCUCCGGUUCUGGGAAAUUAUUUCUUCUAUUUUCUUACGUGUCUUAUUUAUUUCUUUGGUAAUAUCCUUCCUCCUUCUUUCUCUAGUUUCUUUCUAGAACUCCUAUUGAACCUCUGAAAUGAACUAAUUAAAAAAAAACUUUACUGUUUUCCACCUUUGUCUCCUCCCUCUCCCAUUUUCUGGAGAUGUCCCCAAAAUUUAUCAUCCAACUCUGUUAUUAAAUUUAUUUUGGCUAUCAUUUCUGAUUUCUAAGAGUAUGCUAUGAUCUCUGCCUGUUCCUUUUCUUUAUAGCUUCUAUUUGUGUCUCAUGGAUUCAGUUCCAUCUCAUCUUUCUGAGGACAUCAUUUAUUUUGACAUCUUCUUUAUCUGGGUAUUAUCUGCUGCUUCUGGGUGCCUUUUUCUGAUUGUUUUGAUAUAAAGUUCUGUGUCGGAGGCUCUCCUCAAAUAUUUGAUGGAACUUAACUGUGCCUUUGUGUUCAAGUGUUGUAGGAAACCCUGGGACACGCGUAGGAUUAGGAGACUGGUGAGCUUCCUUAUGGGGUGAUCAUAGUCUGGUAUUUUCACCCAGGUCCCCCAAAGUCAGCAGUGACAGGUAUUCCCGGGCAGUUCAGUUUCUCCAGAGAAUAGAAAGCUGCUCCUCCGACCGCCUGCCCGAGGGUAGAUGCCUAGCUUCUGGGGGAGAGGCUGGGGCAGAGGCUGGGGCAGGCUCACCUGCCAGGUUGCAGAUUCUUGCUUAAUCUGUUGUUCUUAGGGCUUCGUUGCUGCGCUCCCCACUCUCAGGCUUCCCUAGUUCAUUAUCCGGAAAACAAACUUCCUGCCAGUCUCCUGCCAGGUUGGGGAAAGGGUACCCAUCGGUGGGAAUCUGAGCAAAGACUACCUCUCCUUACAUAGAUUUUCAAAAUCCCCUCCCUGUCGUCAGCCCCCAUUCCCCUGGGCUCACUCCCACCUUUCCUAUCUCAUGCCCCCCCCCACCUCCUGCUCCUGUGCUUGCAGGGUAGACCAGCUCCCUUCCUGCUGGUACCCUCUACCUUCUGGCAUUUUAGACUAGAGCUUUCUCUUCUCUGCUGAUCAUUUCUUGUUUCCCUGUCUGCUUCCCAUCUUCAUGUGUUGUGGUUUCAGGUUACAGAUACCUCCUCCCUUCAUCAGUCUUGGGGUUUUAUUUCAGGAUUUUGUUUUAUAUUGGAGGUGAUUUUCAAGAAGAGAAGGAGGGUGCAAUACGUCCUCACUUACCCAUCCUGAAACCAUAAAUCUGACCCUCAGACUGAUAGCCCAUAAUCAGCCUCUCCCAUGAAUUCCAACAGUAUAUUUGAGAUCUAUACUUGGCUGUUUUAAUAAACAUCUCAUCUUUAUCAUCAACAAGACAUGAUUUCUUCCUCUCCCCU
Vicugna pacos (alpaca) is the source of this 8060-nucleotide non-coding RNA. The record is from RefSeq and is a predicted model, not a curated record. Lineage: Eukaryota; Metazoa; Chordata; Mammalia; Artiodactyla; Camelidae.